CUGAAGGCAAUACUGAGCCUGCAGGAGGCCAGGAAGCAGGGACAGCCCUUUGGGAAGCAAGAGUUGGCUACACCGGCCAGAAUGGUGCCAAGCCCUCCAAAGAUAUCUGAUGAGAACAUCUACCUGGAAUGUGAGCCCAGUCCAGUCCUGGCCUUGACUCGAACUCUGAGCUCUCAAGUCCUGAUGCCCCCAGACCCUCUUCCAAGGACAUCAGUGGUGCCCAGGUCCACCGUAGCCCCCCAGGAAGCUUGGAAUGUAAGAGGCUAGUAGCCAGGGGAGAAGUAACCUGGGGCGGGGAGCUCAGGGAGGGAC
RNA transcript from Lynx canadensis (Canada lynx), 312 nucleotides. RefSeq lists it as uncharacterized. Lineage: Eukaryota; Metazoa; Chordata; Mammalia; Carnivora; Felidae. The transcript is spliced from 5 exons. The record is from RefSeq and is a predicted model, not a curated record.